This 254-nucleotide ribosomal RNA is filed under the name uncultured bacterium. Its description in RNAcentral is "partial 16S ribosomal RNA". It matches the Rfam family "Bacterial small subunit ribosomal RNA", at positions 524 to 776 of the family's 1533-position model. The record is from RNAcentral.
UACGGGGGGAGCAAGCGUUGUUCGGAUUUACUGGGCGUAAAGGGCGCGUAGGCGGCCAGCACAAGUCAGUUGUGAAAUCUCCGAGCUUAACUCGGAAAGGUCAACUGAUACUGUGCGGCUAGAGUGCGGAAGGGGCAACUGGAAUUCUUGGUGUAGCGGUGAAAUGCGUAGAUAUCAAGAGGAACACCUGCGGCGAAGGCGGGUUGCUGGGUUGUUACUGACGCUGAGGUACGAAAGCGUGGGGAGCAAACGGG